Molecule: long non-coding RNA, 940 nt
Organism: Apis cerana (Asiatic honeybee)
Lineage: Eukaryota; Metazoa; Arthropoda; Insecta; Hymenoptera; Apidae
Source: RefSeq, a predicted model, not a curated record
UAAAAUUUUAAUUAAUUUUUAUAAUAUUAUUUUUAGUAUUAUUCUCUAGAUAAUAAAUAUUUAUAUAUGAAAUAAACUUAUAUAUUUUUAAUAUUUUCUAAUAUUUAAUUAUAAAAUAAAUUAUAAAUAACAAAUAAUAUUAAUAUAUGAAAAAAAUAAAUAUUAUAUGUUUUUAAAUUAAAUUUACAAUUAAAAAUAUAAUAUUUUUUUUAACAACAUCUUAAACUAUAUAUAUUUUAAAUCUUAUAAGAUUUAUUAUGUAAGCUUGCGAUAAUAAUAACACAAAAUUCAAAAGCGAUGAUUCUUGGAAGAUUCGGAUAACAGUAUAAAACAGAAAUAUCAAAAUAACUGACCUCACUGGUUAUUUACAAAACGUUUAUGCAGCUAGUUAGAAAAAUCUGAUCACAAUGCUGCCAAAUAGCGACACUGAUGAAAGUAAUUUUUCACGCAUGCGCAAUUAUUAUGAUUCAACUUCAUUAUAUUAUAAAGCAAAUACUUUUAUACAAUUUUUAUAAAAGUAUGUUACUAAUAGAUGUUUAAAUUAAGAUUAGUUAUUGCUAUUAAUAUUUGUAAGAAUAAUUAUUAAAUAGUACAUUAAUAUAUAAUUUGAAUAAUAUUUCUAAUAUAAAAAUAAAAGAUAAUAUAAUAUAUAUAAAAUAAAAGAUAAUAUUAAUGAACUAAUGUGCGAAAAAUAAUAUUUACUAUAAUUUUACUAAUAAUUGAGAUGUAUGUAUCUUUUUAAGUAAAAUGUGAUAAAAAGAAGAAAAAAAAAUAUUUUUAUGAAAAAUAUUAUUUUCUACUUCGUAAAUACAUAUAAUAAAAAUUAUUAAUUAAAAAUUAAAAAUCUCAUACAAACUUUCAUAGACAUUUUACUAUAAUGCAACAUAUGAAAAUAUGUAAGUAUGAAAUAUAUAAAUAUAUGAUCAAUAAAAUAAACUUA